This 330-nucleotide ribosomal RNA is filed under the name Geobacillus stearothermophilus. RNAcentral describes it as "bacterial SSU rRNA". It matches the Rfam family "Bacterial small subunit ribosomal RNA", at positions 1 to 317 of the family's 1533-position model. The record is from RNAcentral. Lineage: Bacteria; Bacillati; Bacillota; Bacilli; Caryophanales; Anoxybacillaceae.
UCUUUGGAGAGUUUGAUCCUGGCUCAGGACGAACGCUGGCGGCGUGCCUAAUACAUGCAAGUCGAGCGGACCGGAUUGGGGCUUGCCUUGAUUCGGUCAGCGGCGGACGGGUGAGUAACACGUGGGCAACCUGCCCGCAAGACCGGGAUAACUCCGGGAAACCGGAGCUAAUACCGGAUAACACCGAAGACCGCAUGGUCUUCGGUUGAAAGGCGGCCUUUGGGCUGUCACUUGCGGAUGGGCCCGCGGCGCAUUAGCUAGUUGGUGAGGUAACGGCUCACCAAGGCGACGAUGCGUAGCCGGCCUGAGAGGGUGACCGGCCACACUGGG